Molecule: ribosomal RNA, 135 nt
Filed under: uncultured bacterium
Lineage: Bacteria
Description: partial 16S ribosomal RNA
Rfam family: Bacterial small subunit ribosomal RNA
Source: RNAcentral
ACUCCUACGGGAGGCAGCAGUGGGGAAUAUUGCACAAUGGGGGAAACCCUGAUGCAGCAACGCCGCGUGGAGGAUGACGCAUUUCGGUGUGUAAACUCCUUUUAUUAGGGAAGAAUAAUGACGGUACCUAAUGAA